RNAcentral lists this ribosomal RNA (253 nucleotides) under uncultured bacterium. RNAcentral's name for it is "partial 16S ribosomal RNA". It matches the Rfam family "Bacterial small subunit ribosomal RNA", at positions 524 to 776 of the family's 1533-position model. The record is from RNAcentral.
GACAGAGGGGGCAAGCGUUGCUCGGAAUCACUGGGCGUAAAGGGCGCGUAGGCGGGAUGGCAAGUCGGUCGUGAAAUCCUUCGGCUCAACCGAAGAACGUCGGCCGAUACUGCCGUUCUUGAGGGAUGCAGAGGAGAUUGGAAUUCCCGGUGUAGCGGUGAAAUGUGUAGAGAUCGGGAGGAACACCGGUGGCGAAGGCAGCUCGCUGGGACGUGACUGACGCUGAGACGCGAAAGCGUGGGGAGCAAACAGG